UCUCCGUUGGUGAACCAGCGGAGGGAUCAUUAUAGAGUUUUUAACUCCCAAACCCAUGUGAACCUACUAUUUUGUUGCCUCGGCGGGUUCUGCCUCCCAUCUCGGGAGCAGGCUCAAGCCCGCCGGUGGCCCAACUAAACUCUUGUUGUUACAGUGUCAUUCUGAAUUUAAAAACUUAAUCAGUUAAAACUUUCAACAACGGAUCUCUUGGUUCUGGCAUCGAUGAAGAACGCAGC
This 236-nucleotide unclassified non-coding RNA is filed under the name uncultured fungus. Its description in RNAcentral is "sequence contains ITS1, 5.8S rRNA gene". The stretch from base 188 to 236 matches the Rfam family "5.8S ribosomal RNA", at positions 1 to 49 of the family's 154-position model. Lineage: Eukaryota; Fungi. The record is from RNAcentral.